Non-coding RNA from Dicentrarchus labrax (European seabass), 634 nucleotides. The record is from the annotation of a RefSeq genome assembly. Lineage: Eukaryota; Metazoa; Chordata; Actinopteri; Moronidae.
GAAAAUGCUGCUACCAGUCUGUUAACCAGGAGGAAGAAAAUACAGAUCUAAGAGGAGAGGGAGAGAUUCAGGGAGGAGCUAAGCUGUUACUGAACUAUAGAAGAGAGAGGAACUUCCAUAUUCAGCAGAGUUCAAUACACAAACCAGAAACAUUACCUUUAUUCAACAUGCUGUCACUGCACACAACUUUCUCUACUAUUACUCUACUGUACAUCAUAACAGGUGUCAGCUGUGAAGAACUCACUCCAGUCAAGGAUGAAGAGUCCAGUUUAGAAGACAGCACUGUUACUCUGUCCUACACAUACUCUAAACUGAAAACUAAUGAUUAUUUCUUCUGGUAUCGACAAUAUCCAGGAAAACCACCAGAGUUCCUCAUCUCUCACUCUGCUUCAGGAAAUGUAGUAAAUGAACAAAUCCCUGGACUGAAGAUUGAAGUGGAGCAAAACCAAAUAGAAAUGAACAUCUCCUCUGCUGCAGUGACAGACUCUGCUGUGUACUACUGUGCUGUGAAGCCCACAGUGACAGGAAACACCAAAACUCUGUACAAAAACCUGACAGCUCCUCACUGAAGAUUUACACACUCCAGCUUCUGCUUUUACUGAACAACAGCCCCAUCAAGUGGACACUGAUAAUA